AUCCAGCUGACGAGCCCAAAAUAGGACGAAACGCGCGUCCUGGAU
RNAcentral lists this non-coding RNA (45 nucleotides) under Schistosoma mansoni. The record is from RNAcentral. Lineage: Eukaryota; Metazoa; Platyhelminthes; Trematoda; Strigeidida; Schistosomatidae. RNAcentral also lists the same sequence under 1 other name.